AAUGGACGAAAGUCUGAUGGAGCAACGCCGCGUGAGCGAUGAAGGCCUUCGGGUCGUAAAGCUCUGUUGUUAGGGAAGAACAAGUAUCGGAGUAACUGCCGGUACCUUGACGGUACCUAACCAGAAAGCCACGGCUAACUACGUGCCAGCAGCCGCGGUAAUACGUAGGUGGCAAGCGUUGUCCGGAAUUAUUGGGCGUAAAGCGCGCGCAGGCGGUCCUUUAAGUCUGAUGUGAAAGCCCACGGCUCAACCGUGGAGGGUCAUUGGAAACUGGGGGACUUGAGUGCAGAAGAGGAAAGCGGAAUUCCACGUGUAGCGGUGAAAUGCGUAGAGAUGUGGAGGAACACCAGUGGCGAAGGCGGCUUUCUGGUCUGUAACUGACGCUGAGGCGCGAAAGCGUGGGGAGCAAACAGGAUUAGAUACCCUGGUAGUCCACGCCGUAAACGAUGAGUGCUAAGUGUUAGAGGGUUUCCGCCCUUUAGUGCUGCAGCUAACGCAUUAAGCACUCCGCCUGGGGAGUACG
Molecule: ribosomal RNA, 523 nt
Filed under: uncultured bacterium
Lineage: Bacteria
Description: bacterial SSU rRNA
Rfam family: Bacterial small subunit ribosomal RNA
Source: RNAcentral